CCUGAGUUUUUUUUGUCUAUUAUUUCGGACUGUGGUGUUUCCUUGCCAGUUGAGGGCCCUCCUGUUCUCAUUAUUUGCUGAUUAGAUUAUUCGCCUACUACCACAAGACGCGCAGUGGAGCAGAAGUUGAAGUUGCAUCCUCGUUUUCCAAAAGUUGCAAGUGAAUUUCUUGAAAGCCUUACUCGAGUGUGGCGAAAUGUUGAUGUCUUGCACACUUUAUUACUUCCCGCUGAAUAUAUCAACGAAU
This is a long non-coding RNA of Zophobas morio, 247 nucleotides long. RefSeq lists it as uncharacterized. The record is from RefSeq and is a predicted model, not a curated record. The transcript is spliced from 3 exons. NCBI's taxonomy places the organism in Eukaryota, Metazoa, Arthropoda, Insecta, Coleoptera, Tenebrionidae.